GUUAAGGUGGCAGAGCCCGGUAAUGCAAAAGACCUAAGCCCUUUUUACGGGGGUUCAUAUCCCCCCCUUAACU
This 73-nucleotide transfer RNA is filed under the name Petroscirtes breviceps (striped poison-fang blenny mimic). RNAcentral describes it as "tRNA-Leu". It matches the Rfam family "tRNA". From Rfam's summary of the family: Transfer RNA (tRNA) molecules are approximately 80 nucleotides in length. Lineage: Eukaryota; Metazoa; Chordata; Actinopteri; Blenniiformes; Blenniidae. The record is from RNAcentral.